Paramuricea clavata is the source of this 1352-nucleotide non-coding RNA. NCBI's taxonomy places the organism in Eukaryota, Metazoa, Cnidaria, Anthozoa, Malacalcyonacea, Plexauridae. The record is from the annotation of a GenBank genome assembly.
GUAGUUUCACUAUCUUAAUUCCAAUCUCUAUAUACUUCUAUAAAUUCUAUUCCUAGUUAUACCGAAAUGUCAUCUUGUUAAAUAUCAAAUGUUGUUAAAUCAAAAUUGAAUAUACUAUCCCCACCUUCGAUUAGCUUUCGCUAUUUGUGGGAAUAGUAUUUUCUUUAUUUAUGUAUUUUUUUUUAAUAAAUUGAAAUUGAAUUAAAUUUGGAAGGUUGUCGAUGAGCGAUAAUUAAAGUUAAGAGGAUAUGAUGGCGAUCAUUAAAGUUAAGAGAGCGAGAAGAAAAGCAAUUGGCGUAACGGAAACGCUAGUCUCAGUAGGAAGUAUGGUUUAGGAGAUUUGGAGUAGCAUCUUGACUGCAUGCAUGUCGUGCACAUGCAUGCAUGGCUGCCAAUGUAAUAUUGGACGAGGAUCACUAUAGAUAUGCUAAUGGUCCACCCUACAAUGGUCCACGCCUUAGAGUAAGAUAUAAAACAGUGGUUAUCUUCAAACUGUUCGCAACGAAGUUCGAGUUCGCAGUGGAGUGUUCUUGAAAAAUUUUGUUAAUCAUCUGCACCUCUUCUUGGUAUAUUUUCAGGUAGGUGGAACUGAAAUAUUGCAUAUUUGACUAUAAACUAAGAAACGAAACUUGAAUGCAAUAAAACUAAUUGUAACAAACAAACAAACAAACCAACUAACUAACCAACUAACCAACUAACCAACUAACCAACUAACCAACUAACCAACUAACCAACUAACCAACUAACUAACUAACUAUCUAACUAACUAACUAGCUAACUAACUUGUAUAGUUGCAUAAUUUUCACUGCUGGACCAAUCAAACUGACAGAAAAACUUUCUUGACAAGCUUGUAAACGAAUUACUGAAUCAGCAAAUAAAUUAACUAUAUGCCAGCGAGUAGAUUUUUGCUUUCCUCAUCUUAUAGUAGGAAGUGCGGUAAAAUCACCAGGAAAUUCAAACAGAAAUAUUAACUAAAAGUUAAUUUAACCGUAAAAGGGUUCUUUCUAGGUUUAGUGGGAAUAUUUCAACUGCGAUGUUUUUAGUCGAGUGUAUAUUGUGUGGAAAUUUCUUAUACAAUAAUUGAGAUGAAUAAAUUUUUUUUCCAACUUCGGUAAAUUCUACCAUUAUCUGUACAGAUAACUCUGAGCAUAAUCUGACUAUCAAACCGUGCCAUCAAAUUGCAAGCCUUCCUAACGAAGAGAGAAGUUCGGUGGUCAUUAUUGAAUACCGAAAAAAUGUCUUCCAAAAUCUUGUUGCUGUUGUACCUUGUUCAAUUUUCGCAUGCUGCAGGUAAGAAUUUAUUUUGAAAUAAAGAUUAAAAGAGAACCAAUAAGGUCACAUUGCAUGGAGCG